RNAcentral lists this unclassified non-coding RNA (324 nucleotides) under soil metagenome. RNAcentral's name for it is "partial contains 5.8S ribosomal RNA, internal transcribed spacer 2, and large subunit ribosomal RNA". The stretch from base 1 to 120 matches the Rfam family "5.8S ribosomal RNA", at positions 35 to 154 of the family's 154-position model. The record is from RNAcentral.
GAUGAAGAACGUAGCGAAAUGCGAUAAGUAGUGUGAAUUGCAGAAUUCAGUGAAUCAUCGAAUCUUUGAACGCACAUUGCGCCCCUUGGUAUUCCAUGGGGCAUGCCUGUUCGAGCGUCAUUUGUACCUUCAAGCUUUGCUUGGUGUUGGGUGUUUGUCCCUCGGGACUCGCCUUAAAGUCAUUGACAGCCAGUGUUUUGGUUUUGAAGCGCAGCACAAGUCGCGAUUCAAGGCUAUCCGCCCGCUUCCACAAGCCUUUUUCACUUUUGACCUCGGAUCAGGUAGGGAUACCCGCUGAACUUAAGCAUAUCAAUAAGCGGAGGA